AAUGGGCGCAAGCCUGAUCCAGCCAUGCCGCGUGAGUGAUGAAGGCCCUAGGGUCGUAAAGCUCUUUCGCCAGGGAUGAUAAUGACAGUACCUGGUAAAGAAACCCCGGCUAACUCCGUGCCAGCAGCCGCGGUAAUACGGAGGGGGUUAGCGUUGUUCGGAAUUACUGGGCGUAAAGCGCGCGUAGGCGGACUAGUCAGUCAGAGGUGAAAUCCCAGGGCUCAACCCUGGAACUGCCUUUGAUACUGCUAGUCUUGAGUUCGAGAGAGGUGAGUGGAAUUCCGAGUGUAGAGGUGAAAUUCGUAGAUAUUCGGAGGAACACCAGUGGCGAAGGCGGCUCACCGGCUCGAUACUGACGCUGAGGUGCGAAAGUGUGGGGAGCAAACAGGAUU
This 392-nucleotide ribosomal RNA is filed under the name uncultured Gammaproteobacteria bacterium. Its description in RNAcentral is "bacterial SSU rRNA". It matches the Rfam family "Bacterial small subunit ribosomal RNA", at positions 370 to 779 of the family's 1533-position model. Lineage: Bacteria; Pseudomonadati; Pseudomonadota; Gammaproteobacteria. The record is from RNAcentral.